Molecule: ribosomal RNA, 253 nt
Filed under: uncultured bacterium
Lineage: Bacteria
Description: partial 16S ribosomal RNA
Rfam family: Bacterial small subunit ribosomal RNA
Source: RNAcentral
UACGGAGGGAGCUAGCGUUGUUCGGAAUUACUGGGCGUAAAGCGCGCGUAGGCGGCUUUGUAAGUUAGAGGUGAAAGCCCGGGGCUCAACCCCGGAACAGCCUUUAAGACUGCAUCGCUAGAAUCCGGGAGAGGUGAGUGGAAUUCCGAGUGUAGAGGUGAAAUUCGUAGAUAUCAGGAGGAACACCAGUGGCGAAGGCGGCUUCCUGGACACCAACUGACGCUGAGACGCGAAAGCGUGGGGAGCAAACAGG